This 138-nucleotide ribosomal RNA is filed under the name uncultured bacterium. RNAcentral's name for it is "partial 16S ribosomal RNA". It matches the Rfam family "Bacterial small subunit ribosomal RNA", at positions 355 to 507 of the family's 1533-position model. The record is from RNAcentral.
UGGGGAAUAUUGGGCGAUGGGCGAAAGUCUGACCCAGCGACGCCGCGUGAGGGAAGAAGGUCUUCGGAUUGUAAACCUCUGUUGAUAGGGAAGAAGAAAGUGGCGGUACCUAUCGAGGAAGUCACGGCUAACUACGUG